RNAcentral lists this long non-coding RNA (746 nucleotides) under Ananas comosus (pineapple). RNAcentral's name for it is "long non-coding RNA (ACOM_LNC038476)". The record is from RNAcentral. Lineage: Eukaryota; Viridiplantae; Streptophyta; Magnoliopsida; Poales; Bromeliaceae.
CCAAUGGCAAUAGUUUACUGUUACAAACCUUUAUUCAUACAUGAUGUAUAAGCUCUAUCAUGGCAACCAAGUAUACUGUGAUGAAAUAGGUAACUGUCAAGUAUACUACAUGUCUCAACCCUAUGCUAUAAGCAUGUAAAUGUAAUCCAACUACUAAACCUAUCUAGUAGUGAUUGUUCAUAUACAACACCGUGUCGAUUUCCAUUUCCAAUUAAGGACCUACCCAAGGUAGUCCAGCUUGUGCCGCCUAAGUGCCUGUGGUAGCCCAACAUCCCUACUCUUGGAAUGUGUCUGUCCCACUCGACCCCGUAGGCUUCUCAAUACCGCACGAGCGAACAUAAGUCGCGUAGGCCAACUCCGGAGUGCCGGCUUGUAGGGAGCGACCCUCACAAGCAUGUGCGAAUGAGCACAAAUGGCAAGCAAGCAAGGUCAAAGUCUCAAGUACUCUACUCUCAUGCCUCUCACAUGGCACGGCCACUAGCAUCCCAAGGGUCUAGUCCAAAGUCUCAAGGUGACGCUCCAACGCACACUCUCGCUUAGUGCCUCUUUAUGACACUUAAGCAUCACAAUUGAUCAUGCCCAAUUCAUGUCCCAUAUUCCAAUUAACUAGGUUCACUUUAACCCGGGCCCCAUGCCUCUUUAUGACAUUGGCCCAAUCUCAAAUAGUCCAAGUUCUCAAGCCUUCUCUAGGCUUCUAAAAUUUCUAAUGUCACCAUUGGCAUAUAGGUUAAUGCAUGAAAGCAAGG